GCCGCAGUUAAUCUGUGCCAAGGUAGCAUAAUAAUUAGCUUUUUAAUUUAAAGAUAGAAUGAAAGGACAAACGACUUAAUAAUUUUUUCUUAAUUAUAUAAUAAAAUUAACAUAAAAGUAAAAAGACUUUUAUAAAAAAAGAAAGACAACAAGACCCUAUAGAACUUCACUCUUAGUUUUGCUGGGGCAGCAAAAAACACCUACUUUCAACUUAAUUACCAUAAAGACCUAAGAUUCUUAAAUAUUAGAACAAGUUACCUUAGGGAUAACAGCGCUAUUUUAUUAUUCAGCUCUUAUAAAAAAUAAAAUAUACGACCUCGAUGUUGAAUUAAUUUCACUUCACCAAGUAAAAUAGGUAAAAGUAAGUCUGUUCGACUUUUAAAAAAUUACAUGAUUUGAGUUCAGACCGGUGCAAACCAGGUCAGAUUAUAUCUUCUAUUAUAAAUUUACAGUACGAAAGGACCUAAAUAUAAAUA
This 476-nucleotide ribosomal RNA is filed under the name Loxosceles reclusa (brown recluse). RNAcentral's name for it is "partial 16S ribosomal RNA". The stretch from base 140 to 437 matches the Rfam family "Bacterial large subunit ribosomal RNA", at positions 2074 to 2646 of the family's 2925-position model. The record is from RNAcentral. Lineage: Eukaryota; Metazoa; Arthropoda; Arachnida; Araneae; Sicariidae.